This 2098-nucleotide long non-coding RNA is filed under the name Pan troglodytes (chimpanzee). RNAcentral's name for it is "long non-coding RNA NONPTRT017892". Lineage: Eukaryota; Metazoa; Chordata; Mammalia; Primates; Hominidae. The record is from RNAcentral.
GUGAAUUUCACCUCAAUUUUUUGCAACAGAGACUCCUUCAGGGUGAGCAAAGGCUUGGAAACCUGUAUGCAGUUAAAGAAAAGGAAAGAAAGAGAUAAUCAGUGCAUGCAGUUGUCAGCUGGCUGGGACCUGAGGAGAGUCACUUGUGGAGGCAACUGGUCUUUAUCCCUAUUGUCCGGUACAAGGCAGGCAUUAAUCCUGUGAUCCUUAUCUGAAGCUCAGGCUAAAUAGGGAAGUAGAAUGGGAAUGUGAUAAAAAGUACCACCUCUGCAUCCUUCAAGUCCUUGAUGGUGGUACUAAUCUCUGCAAGCUCUACAAGAAUGCAGUAUUGUUUUUGGUUUGCUGUUUUUCUAGAUAGAGGCAGGUAAGUGGCUUCCACUUUAUAGCGUAAUUGCCCUCACUCUUCAGGUCAGGAAACCAGUGUAGGGAUUCUGCUAAUUGUUGAGUAUGUCUAUUCCAAUUAUUCUGCAGCUACAGAGAUAACGAGACUGGACCCACUGCAAGACAGACCUAAACUAAAACUCCAUUGAUCACCUAACCUCCCUAAGCCCCUACUCUCACUUGUGAACCAGAGUGAUGCAUUGGUUUUCCUGGGGUACCCUGAGUCUGAGUUCAGAACCAAUGUCCAGUAAUUCCCCCAAAGUCUGAUUAUUCCCUUUUCCCCAAUGCACAGUCAGUCAACUUGGUAAAGUGCUAUAGGUCCCUUUGGGGAAGGCUGAGAGAAAAAUGAACAGUAUACAAUUUUGGUAAUGCAGUGGGGACACAGCCUCCUCAUUAUUUAAGGAGAUAUGGGUCUGCAAACUGGCCCAAGUCUUGGAAUUGAUUCAGGAGCUGUGACUCCAUUUUUUUGAUUCGAGUUAGACUUUUAUUCACUUGAUUCUUCUUUUUAUACAGAACAGAUAAGAAUUUAGUAGGCUUUCCAUCUCUUUUAUUUCUAUGGAUACUAUGACCAGCUAGCUAAUGCCAUAAGUCUCUGUAAAUCAGACUUUCUAACUACAGUUUUGACUUUACUGUCCAUUACAGUAACCAUGUUCACCUUGUCUUUGGUGAUUAAAUGCUGCCACUUGGCCCCUGCCAUCCUGGGAUCCAGUUACUCUCCUUAUACUUAAGAAUCCCAUUCAGUGGCAGCAGUUCCCACUGUAAUUUCUGACCUAUACAGAAGAGCAACCACAGAGCUCUUUAAAAAUAUUGGAACUCCCUCACAAAUUUAUUUCUCGUGGUCAUAACAGAAAGUGUGUCCUGAGCUAGAUGUGGUAGCUCACACCUAUAAUCCCAGCACCUUGGGUGGCCAAGGUAGGAGAAUCGCUUGAGCUCAGGAGUUUGAGGCCUGCUUGGGCAACGUAGCAAGACCUUGCCUCUAUAAAAAUUUUUAAAAUUAGCCAGGUAUGAUGGUGCAUAUAGUCCCAGCUACUCAGGAGGCUGAGGCAGGAGGGUCCCUUGAGCCCAGGAGUUUGAGGGUACAGUGUGCUAUGGUCACACCACUGCACUCCAGCCUGGGCAAUAGAGUGAGCCCUGACUCUAAAAAAUAAUAAUAAAUAGAAAAAGAAAGCAUGUCCUCUUGUUAAAGAUUUUUCAAUGACACUUGUUCAAGGAUGGUAAGGCUGACUUUUUCAAGAUCAUCAGAAUAGAUACAGGGACCAAUGCAAUAGCAUUUUACAGCGAGGGAGAGAGAUUGGGCUCAACUCUGAAUACAGUUUGGGUAAGUGAGAAUUUAUUGCCAAGGAGUAGGGUGGGGGUCAGUGGAUUGAAAAUUACUAAGAGGAAACUUCAAGAGUAAGGAAAGAUUCUGGCUUAACUGACCUAACAGGAUUCUUGCUGAAAACAGGCUGGGGUGUUGAGACACUACCUGGGAGAUGGUGGAGGAUGAAGCCCUGAUCAGAUAUGGAGGAUGAUCAGAUAUUGAGCAUGGAGGUUCUUUUUUUUUUAUGCUUUAAGUUCUAGGGUACAUGUGCACAACGUGCAGGUUUGUUACAUACGUAUACAUGUGCCAUGUUGGUGUGCUGCACCCAUCAACUCGUCAUUUACAUUAGGUAUUUCUCCUAAUGCUAUCCUUCCCCCCUCUUCCCAUCCCACAACAGGCCCCAGUGUGUGAUGUUCC